CAACGGAAAGCACAAAAUGGAGGUUUGUGAUUAUUUAUGGUUUUAUGUGUUUUUGCUUUUGAAAUUUUCAUCUUAAAAAAUCAGAAUGGAUUAUUGCAAUUGGUUCUGGAGAUUUGUUCCUCCAGAUUAACUGCAAUGCAACAGUUGCAUGAUAAAUGUAUUGAUCUAUUCAAAAUUUUGCUCUUCACAUCUCAGUAAUAGAUUUUAUGCAAGGUUAGUUACAUGUGGUAGGAGAAUGUAGCCGUAAUACUAACUAUUACUCUCUUUAAUCUGUAUUGCAGUGAGUUUACAGGCCUGCUCAACCUCUUCCCAAACUUGAGUAAUUUCUGUGAUUUGCAGCCUAACUGUUAUCUUUGAUUCUUU
This 363-nucleotide unclassified non-coding RNA is filed under the name Hevea brasiliensis (rubber tree). The record is from RNAcentral. Lineage: Eukaryota; Viridiplantae; Streptophyta; Magnoliopsida; Malpighiales; Euphorbiaceae.